CCAUUUUUAGCUCAGUGGAAUAGAGCAUCAGCCUUCUAAGUUGUUGGUCGCAGGUUCGAAUCCUGCAAAAUGGA
This 74-nucleotide transfer RNA is filed under the name Stigeoclonium helveticum. RNAcentral's name for it is "tRNA-Arg". It matches the Rfam family "tRNA". From Rfam's summary of the family: Transfer RNA (tRNA) molecules are approximately 80 nucleotides in length. The record is from RNAcentral. Lineage: Eukaryota; Viridiplantae; Chlorophyta; Chlorophyceae; Chaetophorales; Chaetophoraceae.